This 465-nucleotide ribosomal RNA is filed under the name uncultured bacterium. RNAcentral's name for it is "partial 16S ribosomal RNA". It matches the Rfam family "Bacterial small subunit ribosomal RNA", at positions 28 to 507 of the family's 1533-position model. The record is from RNAcentral.
GACGAACGCUGGCGGCGUGCUUAACACAUGCAAGUCGAACGGAAGGGCCCUGCUUGCAGGGUACUCGAGUGGCGAACGGGUGAGUAACACGUGGGUGAUCUGCCCUGCACUUCGGGAUAAGCCUGGGAAACUGGGUCUAAUACCGGAUAGGAGCCAUUUUUAGUGUGAUGGUUGGAAAGUUUUUUCGGUGUAGGAUGAGCUCGCGGCCUAUCAGCUUGUUGGUGGGGUAAUGGCCUACCAAGGCGGCGACGGGUAGCCGGCCCGAGAGGGUGGACGGCAACAUUGAGACUGAGACUCGGACCCGACUCCUACGGGAGGCAGAAGUGGGGAAGAGGGAUCUAGGGGAGCAAGCCUGAUGCAGAGACGCCGCGGGGGGGAUGACGGUCUUCGGGUUGGAAACGCAUUUCGCUAGGGACGAAGCUUUUUGUGACGGUACCUAGAGAAGAAGCACCGGCUAACUACGUG